Molecule: long non-coding RNA, 5095 nt
Organism: Ictalurus punctatus (channel catfish)
Lineage: Eukaryota; Metazoa; Chordata; Actinopteri; Siluriformes; Ictaluridae
Source: Ensembl
UUUUUUCUACUCGUGAUCAAUACAUUUACUUUUUAAUGUCAUAUUUAGACAGGAUAAAAAUCUAAAGUUAUAAAAAAAGGAAAACCAUCUCGAUAUGCAUAUUAAAUUAUUAGUGCAUGAAACGGUUAAACUGACGCUCACAAAAAACAGGAGAAUUUCCUUAUUUUUGUGCACGCUGGCUAACAGACAGCUGUGAUUGGCCAGCGCCUUUCUGCUGCACAGUUAAAAAAGAAAAACUUUACGCACUUCAGUCAGGAGCGGUAAUACGUGAGGAAUAAAACCCUGUUUCUUGCUGUUGUUUGGGGGGAAAAAUCAACAGCAAGGUGGUCUGAUGAAACCCGACCAGAAGCUGAUUAUUUUAUAUAACAUAUAUAUUUUUUUUUUCUUUCAGUGCGCUGUUAUGGGAAAAUAAUCAACAACCCGCUGGGGUGGUGUGAUGAAGUUUGUUUAUUUUCCUAAAAAAGCACAUCCUGAAGUGUUUUAUUUCUCCAAUUAUACCACAGCAAUUUGCCAGUGCUCACAUUUUGUAUGUAUUUAUGAAUUUAAUUAUAAAAUAAACAGUACAUUUUUUUAUCAUGAAUUCAUAGCUACAUGUAACGUUGUGGAACAUGUACGAAACGAAUGAGUAGUCCAGUUCUCCCUUACGUUAUAGCAGCUAUAGAAUGAGAACUUUUCCGUGUCGGACAAGCUGUUGCCAUAGAAACGAUAAGAAAUAUACAGUAGGUGUAUAUAAAUAUCGAUCAGGCGGUUUCUCUCAGCCGCUCUGCUCCGACGUGUAAUAAACGAUUCAGAGGAAGAGCGACUCGACGCGGCUUUUUCCGCUUCUCUCGUCACUCCCCGUAGAUAUUUGUUAUUUGUAUUACGGAGUAAUAUCAUAAAACAGUACAGAAGCCGAACCGUUAUUUGAUCAGAAACAAAUAAAAUCCCAGAAUCAAAGCCAGAAUCGAGUUUUGUAUCUGUAGAAUCUGUAGAAACUGGAUCGACAGAGUUUCUUCCGACGCAGAGAAAGAAAGGUUCCUGCCGGCGUCUUAAAGGGUUCUUUGGGUUCUUCUCUCUGCCGGAACACCGAACGUUCCGUAUGUGGUUUUCCAAAAAUAGAACCUCUUUAAUAAGAGUGAGUUCGUAUUCAGGAUAUCAGUCACAGUCAUUCCUCAGUUCCCAUACCUGUUGAAACGUUUAUACUGUUUCCUGUUAGCUACCUGAGACACGCAGCAGAUACAGAAGACAUAACGUUUCCAAAGACGUCGUGGAUACGUCCGUUAAACAACUUCAAACAAAAAUCAUAUUUACGACGAGUCAAUAUUUUAAACUAAGGAGUAAAACGCGGUUAUAGGAAAAUAAUCAGUGGCGUGAUUAUUCAAGCCCGAACACAAAGUCGAUCACUUCUCUUAUAUCACGUUAGUUUACCGACGCUCACAAUUUUCUUUCGUUCAUACGUAGUUGCGGAAAGUUCUAGAAACAAGUUCCUCUCCUCACUGACUGUACGUCACAGCCGCUAUGAGCUGCUCUUUUUCUCUCUCUUGAAGUUAAUACGACAAAAAAAAAAGAGAGAAACCACCUAUGCUUACGUCCCAUUUCGCCUAUUUAUAGCAUGAAUAAGCGCGUAGUAUUUUUAGCAAAAGACUGGGACAUACACGUCAUAGCACGUCAUGUAACGGAAGAGAAGGUUGUCGCCUAGUUACGCGUCGCCGUAAACGAACUCCUCGUUGAAUUUCAGCUUGCCUUCAUUCGUAAUUCCUUAUCAAGUUUAUAUUAUACAAUUGAUUUAUUUUUCUACGUUUUAUUUACACUUCUCGGAAAAAAAAACAAAAAAAAAACAUCACAAAGCUCCUCCUCCUCCGCCUGAAAAUAUUCGCUGAGUAAGUGUCCAGUAGACCAUGCUGGGUACCUUUGGGAUACUCAUUUCAACAUACUACGAUUCGGGACGCGCCGAUUCUAAUCUCGGACGCUAUGUAGGACGGAUAGUGGUACCGCAUGAAGUACCACGGAAAUGGUUUUGGACCUCAGUUCCACACGGACGUUCUCGCUGUGGUUGCUGGGACGACGGUUGCUGCGAUGGCCUCGGGACUGCGAUUACCACGUACAGGUCUACACUCGGGUCUCCUUUAGUGAACAGUGGACUAGUUCAACAAACAGACUUCAUAUAAACACCAUAACGCACUUUCUUUUACUCUCACACUAUCCGUCGUGACCCAGAUGAGGACGGGUUCCCUUCCGAGUCCGGUUCCUCUCAAGGUUUCUUCCUCGUAUCAUCUCAGGGAGUUUUUCCCUCACCACCGUCUCCACCGUCUCGCUCAAUAGGGAUAAACUCACACGCUUAAAAUCUCCACCCUGUGUUUAUAUGUUCCUGUUAAGCCGCUUUGAGACGACGACCGUUGUUAAAAGCGCUACACGAAUCAAAUCGAAUUGAAUCGAAUCGAAUCGAAUAGCAGGCGAACUGAGACGCAGCGUUGGAAACGUUACAGCUUUAACUCUGACACUGGAGACUCCUUCCAUAAACGUUAAAUAAACGUCUCCUUACCCUGAACACGAUCGAGCACUUUCUCUUUUUAAAAAAAAAUCUGUUAUCGUCGAGCGUUCGCGCUACACGUCCCUGAGAACGAGCUGUUGCUAUAGAAACGAGCGCAUCAAUACGAACCUCCCGACCAAUCGGAAUCCGUGAUUCGACGGUGCAGUGUUUGAAACGGUGAAAUCUUCUGAAGUGAUAUGGUAGUAACGUGGAGCGAGCGGUGUCGUCAGCGACGGUGCGGUCUGCAGGAGGAGGGAAAUCCUAAACCGCCAGCUCCGCCAACUCCACCGAGAGCACACUGGAGCCGCGUGGCGAGCCCAUUAGUCACCGUAAAGCCAUUAGUUUAUUAGUUUAGAAAAUGCAGGAGACACUUUAGAGUCUGGUGGGAAAUGUCCUUGUUUGUCUCCAGCUUCAGGUUACCGUGACGCCGAUACUACGACAGCCCAGUGGGUGAAGAGUACACACUUUACUCGCCGUGUCUCAGCUCCUUUACUUGAUCCGUUCUGGGGUUUUUUUUUCCCCUGUUCUCUCGAGAUUAAUGCGCGAUAGACGCGGCAUAGAAGAUUUUAUGCCGCAGGAGUGAUGCCUCAGUGAGCAGAAGGUUAUGAGUUUCAAUCCCAGAGAGACACUGUCGGGCUUUUAAGUGUCACCUUUAACCCUUUGUGCUGUGACUGUAUUAUAUUUCACUUAAGCUGCUUUAGAUAGAUGUAUUUUUUAACUGUUGAGUCAGUUUAGUUUAUGAAACAUACUAAAAUGAAACCAAAACCUUUAACUAGCUAACUAACUAGCUAGACGCUAGCUAGGGUCGGCGGUUCGAUUCCCGGCCCACGUGACUCCACAUGCCGAAGUGUCCUUGGGCGAGACACUGAACCCCGAGUCGCUCCCGAUGGCAAGUUAGCGCCUUGCGUGGCAGCUCUGCUACCAUUGGUGUGUGAGUGUGUGUGUGAACGGGUGAAUGAGACACACUGUAAAGCGCUUUGUACAACCUCUAAGGUUGAAAAAGUGCUAUAUAAGUGCUAUAUAAGUUAUUAACUGUUCAGUCAUGGACACUUGAGUGCAAACUGUCCUAAAGCAGUCCUAAAGCCAUCCAGGGAAUGUUUCUAAGAAUUGCUGCCUAUAAAAAUAAGAAUCAAAUAUGUUCACAAGCCAGGAACCACUUUUUCCCCCUUCAGCCUAAUCAUUUUGAUGAGCCUUGUUUGAAUAUUAGGCUCAUUAUAAUACUAAUUAUAUAAUAUAAUUUUUAUAUAUAUGUGGUGUGCACUUAUGUAGCGCUUUUUUAACCUCAGCGGUUCUGCAAAGCAAUUUACACUGUGUCUCAUUCACCCAUACACACACACACACUCACACACUCACACACUAAUGGUAGCAGAGCCGCCAUGUAAGGCGCUAACUUGCCAUCGGGAGCAACUUGGGGUACAGUGUCUUGCCCAAGGACACUUCGGCAUGUGGAGUCAUGCGGAGUCAUGUAGAGGCAUGUGGAGGCAUGUGGAGUCACGUGGAGGCACGUGGAGUCAUGUGGAGUCAUGCGGAGUCAUGUGGAGGCAUGUGGAGGCAUGUGGAGUCAUGUGGAGUCAUGUGGAGACACGUGGGGUCACAGGGAGUCAUGUGGCGUCACGUGGGCCGGGACUCGAACUGCCAACCAUUAUAUAAUAUUAUGCUGAUUACAUACGUCCGCAGCGUUAUUCUCGACUCCGUUUAUAGGAACGAUUUGUUUUCGAGUUAUUCAGGUUCGGAUUGAACCCGUUUCAUUUUGAGUGACAAAUCGGUUAACGCGCACGAUAUUUGAUAAUAAACGUAUAAUAACUCUGAUGAAGUUAUGACCUUUAUUCCUCGUGGUCCGGACGUCCGCUCGACCGCCGGCCGUUCUGCGUAAACAGGCUAUGCGGAUGUCUAAAUUGCGAGAGAAAAAAAAAGUCAAAUUCAUUUUAAACUCCGAUUUAAACUGGCGGUCGUGGGAAAUCACGUCAGAAUGGCGAGAAAUAAAGCCGCGGUUGCCUUUAUUAUUUUUGGGGGAUUAUUUUUCUCCGUGAAGGAAACGGCCGUCCAUAGAUUUCCCCUUCUGUUAAUGAAAUAACAAAUAAAAACGGAAGAAACAAAGAAUUCCAAUCACAGCCAGUUAUGUUUCUCAGACUUUUCUUUUUUUCCGUGUUUUAUUAUUUAAUAUUACUUAGAGCACAUUUUCACUUACCGUUUUUUCUUUCUUUCUUUUUUUAAAUAUUUAUUUUUAGAGUUUUACUGACUUUCUAAUUAUUAUAUUAUAUUAUACUAUAUUCGUUUGUUUUUCUUUUUUACUUACUCAUCUUUUUUUAAUUUAAUUUGAGUUCUUAUGCUAUUUCCUACGACAUUUUUACUGUUUUUAUUUGCGCCUCCUUGUUCUAUUUCUAUUGUUAAUUAAUUUGUAAGCUGUUUAAACUUUUUUUAAAAUUAUAUUACAUUAUAUUACUUAGUAACUAUUUCGUAAUAUUAAUAUGGUAAUUAGAUCAUUUUCCCUCUCAUUUGUUCUCAUCUGCUCUUUCAUACAGUAGAUUAUUAUUAUUAUUAUUAUUAUUAUUAUUAUUAUUAUUAUUAUUAGUUGUUUACUUUUUC